GUCUUUUUGAGUAUAAUUUAAAGUCUGACCUGCCCACUGAAUUUUUAAAGGCCGCGGUAUUUUGACCGUGCAAAGGUAGCAUAAUAAUUAGUUUUUUAAUUGAAAGCUGGAAUGAAUGGUUGGACGAGGAAAUAACUGUCUCUAUAUUAAUUUAUUAGAAUUUUAUUUUUAAGUUAAAAAGCUUAAAUAAUUUUAAAAGACGAGAAGACCCUAUAGAGUUUUAUAUAAUUUUUUUAAGAAAGAUUUUAUUAAUUUUAAUUUUUUUAAAAAAAUUAUAUUUUGUUGGGGUGAUGGAAAAAUUUAAUAAACUUUUUUUUUAUUCGAUCAUUUAUAUAUGAAUUUUUGAUCCAUUGAUUGUGAUUAUAAGAUUAAAUUACCUUAGGGAUAACAGCGUAAUUUUUUUUGAGAGUUCUUAUCAAAAAAGAAGAUUGCGACCUCGAUGUUGGAUUAAAAUAAAUAUUUGGUGUAGAAGCUAAAUAAUUAGGUCUGUUCGACCUUUAAAAUUUU
This 507-nucleotide ribosomal RNA is filed under the name Cafius sabulosus. Its description in RNAcentral is "partial 16S ribosomal RNA". The stretch from base 384 to 507 matches the Rfam family "Bacterial large subunit ribosomal RNA", at positions 2473 to 2597 of the family's 2925-position model. The record is from RNAcentral. Lineage: Eukaryota; Metazoa; Arthropoda; Insecta; Coleoptera; Staphylinidae.